Molecule: long non-coding RNA, 439 nt
Filed under: Anolis carolinensis (green anole)
Lineage: Eukaryota; Metazoa; Chordata; Lepidosauria; Squamata; Anolidae
Description: lncRNA (ENSACAG00000044358.1)
Source: RNAcentral
GUGAUUCAUACCAAACUACUGUUCUCUCGUAACUAACAUAAUUAAUUGUCUUUCAUUCCAAAGGAGUUAGCGGUUCGGUAUGAACAUGUGCUGUUCUGCAUUGUUGAUGUGGACUUGGCAAAGGAUGUGGCAGACCUUUGCAAUAUCAUUGCCAUGCCAACAUUCCAGUUCUUCAUGAACGGAGAAAAGAUUUUUGAAAUAACUGGUGCUAAUGCAAAAAAACUGGAGCGGAAGAUUAAAGAGUUGAUGUAAUCACUGAAGAAUGCUCCCCUGUGAUCCCAUGCUAUUGCUACAAAUGCCAGUAAAAUAACUUUUCCACAAGCCACCAUCUAGGUGAAAGAUACAUUCAUACAAUGAAGUUAUACAGAAAUGGUCUAUUUAAGUCUAAGGUCUAGAGGAACCUGUGUAAUGGAAUGAUACACUUGACAGUCAUCAUAGA